RNAcentral lists this transfer RNA (75 nucleotides) under Candidatus Campbellbacteria bacterium RIFCSPLOWO2_02_35_12. RNAcentral's name for it is "tRNA-Val". It matches the Rfam family "tRNA". Rfam says of the family: Transfer RNA (tRNA) molecules are approximately 80 nucleotides in length. The record is from RNAcentral. Lineage: Bacteria; Candidatus Campbelliibacteriota.
GGGCGUUUAGCUCAGUGGCAGAGCGUCACAUUGACAUUGUGAAGGCCGCAGGUUCAAUCCCCGCAACGCCCACUA